RNAcentral lists this ribosomal RNA (552 nucleotides) under Tenodera sinensis (Chinese praying mantis). RNAcentral describes it as "partial 16S ribosomal RNA". It matches the Rfam family "Bacterial large subunit ribosomal RNA", at positions 1801 to 2622 of the family's 2925-position model. The record is from RNAcentral. Lineage: Eukaryota; Metazoa; Arthropoda; Insecta; Mantodea; Mantidae.
UGUUUAUCAAAAACAUGGUUUCUUGUAAUUAUUUAGGAGAUCUGACCUGCCCACUGAAAAUAUUUUGAAGGGCCGCAGUAUUUUGACUGUGCAAAGGUAGCAUAAUCAUUAGUCUUUUAAUUGAAGGCUGGUAUGAAUGGUUGGAUGAGGUAAAUUCUGUUUUAUGUUAAUUGAUGUUGAAUUUAGAUUUUAAGUAAAAAUACUUAAAUGUUAUUAAGGGACGAGAAGACCCUAUAGAGUUUAAUAAAUGUAAUAAUUAAUUGAGUUAAAGUUUAAUUUUUGGUUUUUAUGUAAUUUAUUUAAUUGGGGUGAUUGGAAGAUAAAAUAAACUCUUCUUUAUAUUUAAUAAAUUAAUUAGUUAUAUGAUCCAUAUUUAAUGAUUAAAAGAUUAAAUUACCUUAGGGAUAACAGCAUAAUUCUUUUUAAGAGUUCAUAUCGAAAAAAGAGAUUGUGACCUCGAUGUUGGAUUAAGAUUAGUUAUGGGUGCAGAUGUUCAAUAACUAGGUCUGUUCGACCUUGAAAAUCUUACAUGAUCUGAGUUCAAACCGGAGA